CUACUAAAAAUUUUUCAAAUCCGCCGCUGCACAUAGGUGAAAUCUAGAAAAGAGCAAGAAAGAAUUCAUAUUGGUCAAUGAAUUCAAAUAGUGGGAACAACGGAACCCAAGUGGGAACAACGGAACCCAAAUUGGUCAAUGAAUUCAUAGUGGAACAAUAGAACCCAAAUUGGCCAAUGAAUCCAUACUUGGGCUUGUAAUCCCAAAUUGGUAAGCCUCAUCUCUUGGGUCGACCCCAAUUUAACCUAGGCCUUGUUUACUUGGAGUUUGUUUUUUUGGUUGCCAUAUUUGGCUUCUAUGCAUGACCUUUGUUUACAUAAUUGUAGCUUAACUUGCCAUCAAUUGGUAUGAGAGAAAUUCUCAUGCAACGGGAAUAUAU
Molecule: long non-coding RNA, 379 nt
Filed under: Prunus persica (peach)
Lineage: Eukaryota; Viridiplantae; Streptophyta; Magnoliopsida; Rosales; Rosaceae
Description: long non-coding RNA (PPER_LNC005108)
Source: RNAcentral